UUGAUGGUCCGCAACCUAUGGAAGGUACAUUCCGUUCCUGUCCUAAAUAAUACUGAUUGACUAUGGAAGAAAUUGGAAAUCCUGAAUUUUUCGGUUUUAGUUUUCUUUCUCUUUAGUAUGAUGUCUGAGUUCAAAUGGGUAGUGCUUCAUAUGUUCUUAUUUUAUGUUCUUCCCAUAGAAAAAUUAUAAAUUUUGAAAUGGUUUGGAUGUUGGUUUGAAUUUCGCAGUUGGUAUUGCCCUGCUGGUUUCAGUUGAGUGUAGUCUGGGUUUUGUCUAGGAAUGAAUGACCCAUUGAUUUUAGGAGCUUAG
RNAcentral lists this unclassified non-coding RNA (309 nucleotides) under Hevea brasiliensis (rubber tree). Lineage: Eukaryota; Viridiplantae; Streptophyta; Magnoliopsida; Malpighiales; Euphorbiaceae. The record is from RNAcentral.